RNAcentral lists this non-coding RNA (253 nucleotides) under uncultured bacterium. RNAcentral describes it as "partial 16S ribosomal RNA". It matches the Rfam family "Bacterial small subunit ribosomal RNA", at positions 524 to 776 of the family's 1533-position model. RNAcentral also lists the same sequence under 2 other names. The record is from RNAcentral.
UACGAAGGGGGCUAGCGUUGCUCGGAAUUACUGGGCGUAAAGGGAGCGUAGGCGGACAUUUAAGUCAGGGGUGAAAUCCCGGGGCUCAACCUCGGAAUUGCCUUUGAUACUGGGUGUCUUGAGUGUGAGAGAGGUAUGUGGAACUCCGAGUGUAGAGGUGAAAUUCGUAGAUAUUCGGAAGAACACCAGUGGCGAAGGCGACAUACUGGCUCAUUACUGACGCUGAGGCUCGAAAGCGUGGGGAGCAAACAGG